CGUCGGCUUGACUGGGCGAUGAGACACCCACUUACCUGGUUAAAUGUUAUUUCUGCAGGUGUCUGCAAGGACAUUUCUGGAGCAGGGUUUCUGAGUGCCGGGAAUUUGGAGGCAGGUUGUCUCGGCGGCCCUGGCUCACGGUCUCUGAUCAGGCUGCAGUCAAGUUGUAAGCCGGAGCAGCAGUCUUUGGAAGAUGCCAGAGGAUCCGUUUCCAAGCUUGCUCAGCACCGGCAGCAUUACUACCGUGACGGAGUGGACUCCACUGGCUUUGUGAAUCUGGGACCACACUUUCUGAUGCAACAACCUGGGCUUCUCAGUGUGGGGCUCUCUGGGUCUGGUUCUACUGGCUGCUCCGUCUAGGGACACAGGAAACUCCAAAGGGGUCCAGCACACCACCUGAUGCCCGGCCACGUUGCUUCAACGCCGUUCACCAAGAACACAAAGGCUUGUGGGGAAAUGUGGCUACUAAAUGCCAUGCAUUUUUGAUGUCCAACAGUUUUUCUUACAAGGUAUUGCAUUUUUAUACUUUUUAAACAAACAGCUUCAAAAUCUACCAAAACACUUUGGACGAUUUUUAAAUAGGUUGGAAAAUUUCAUUUGCAAGUUUUUUUCAGGGCACAGAUAUGAAAGUUUCUAUAAGUGGUGUGCUCACGUUAUUUCUGGAAACAAAAACAAGGAUGGAAAAGUUCCCCAUUUCACUCUCCCCAUAGGAUGAGUUUCUUGAAAAGCAGCUGUUUCUCAUGCAGUGUUAAAACAUCCCCUCACGUUGAAGACAGCUUUCGCGUGUUUCUGUUUGCAGAAACCCUGUCAGUUGCUUUUGAUGACUGGCCUUUGCACACAGAGUUCAGCCAAAGAAGUACCCGCCUUUUUAAAAAGAAACUCGCCCACUUCAUCUCCAGAAAGGCUUGUCUGAGCACGUCAGAUGCACAGGGACUCACAUGGAUGAUCACUCUUUAUAUCAUGCCAAAGAAUUGCAAAGAUUCUUCCAUGAUUGUUUGCUGCUGGCAAAACUUGGCAUUAGUCCUGGAAUCCAGGUGUGCUGGGGCCGGUGGAGGGAGAGAUCCACCUCCUGAGUGAAGAGAGGGAAGUCCAGAGGGCGUCUCUGGUUCGUUCGUUCGUCUUGGGGAAGCCUCAGCUGAACGGCCACCACGGUUUCUGCUGCACAUUAGCUGG
Molecule: long non-coding RNA, 1173 nt
Filed under: Equus caballus (horse)
Lineage: Eukaryota; Metazoa; Chordata; Mammalia; Perissodactyla; Equidae
Description: lncRNA (ENSECAG00000048235.1)
Source: RNAcentral